AUCGUGGCUCAUGGUUUUUUAAAGCGGAGACGGAGUAUUAUUUUUUCGAGCGGCGGACGGGUGAGUAAUGCCUAGGAAAUUGCCCUGAUGUGGGGGAUAACCAUUGGAAACGAUGGCUAAUACCGCAUGAUGCCUACGGGCCAAAGAGGGGGACCUUCGGGCCUCUCGCGUCAGGAUAUGCCUAGGUGGGAUUAGCUAGUUGGUGAGGUAAGGGCUCACCAAGGCGACGAUCCCUAGCUGGUCUGAGAGGAUGAUCAGCCACACUGGAACUGAGACACGGUCCAGACUCCUACGGGAGGCAGCAGUGGGGAAUAUUGCACAAUGGGCGCAAGCCUGAUGCAGCCAUGCCGCGUGUGUGAAGAAGGCCUUCGGGUUGUAAAGCACUUUCAGUCGUGAGGAAGGUAGUGUAGUUAAUAGCUGCAUUAUUUGACGUUAGCGACAGAAGAAGCACCGGCUAACUCCGUGCCAGCAGCCGCGGUAAUACGGAGGGUGCGAGCGUUAAUCGGAAUUACUGGGCGUAAAGCGCAUGCAGGUGGUUUGUUAAGUCAGAUGUGAAAGCCCGGGGCUCAACCUCGGAAUUGCAUUUGAAACUGGCAGACUAGAGUACUGUAGAGGGGGGUAGAAUUUCACGUGUAGCGGUGAAAUGCGUAGAGAUCUGAAGGAAUACCGGUGGCGAAUGCGGCCCCCUGGACAGAUACUGACACUCAGAUGCGAAAGCGUGGGGAGCACACACGAUUAGAUACCCUGGUAGUCCACGCCGUAAACGAUGUCUACUUGGAGGUUGUGGCCUUGAGCCGUGGCUUUCGGAGCUAACGCGUUAAGUAGACCGCCUGGGGAGUACGGUCGCGAGAUUAAAACUCACAUGAAUUGACGGGGGCCCGCACAAUCGGUGGAGCAUGUGGUAUAAUUCGAUGCAACGCGAGAUCAUUACCUACUCUGACAUCCAGAGAACUUUCCAUAGAUUGGAUUGGUGCCUCAGGACUCUGAGACAAGUGCUGCAUCGCCUGUCGUCACUCAAGUGCUGAAAUGUCGG
Molecule: ribosomal RNA, 1033 nt
Filed under: Vibrio parahaemolyticus
Lineage: Bacteria; Pseudomonadati; Pseudomonadota; Gammaproteobacteria; Vibrionales; Vibrionaceae
Description: bacterial SSU rRNA
Rfam family: Bacterial small subunit ribosomal RNA
Source: RNAcentral